This 107-nucleotide transfer RNA is filed under the name Candidatus Bathyarchaeota archaeon. Its description in RNAcentral is "tRNA-Val". It matches the Rfam family "tRNA". From Rfam's summary of the family: Transfer RNA (tRNA) molecules are approximately 80 nucleotides in length. The record is from RNAcentral. Lineage: Archaea; Thermoproteati; Candidatus Bathyarchaeota.
GGACCCGUGGUCUAGUGGUUACCUGCCGGGCGCGAUGCCCGCUAGCCAUACAUGACACCCGCUUGACGUGCGGGGAAUCGGGAGUUCGACUCUCCCCGGGUCCACCA